UCUAGUGCUGAUGGCGAAGAGGUCACACCCGUUCCCAUACCGAACACGGAAGUUAAGCUCUUCAGCGCCGAUGGUAGUUAGGGGCUUCCCCUUGCGAGAGUAGGACAACGCUAGGC
Molecule: non-coding RNA, 116 nt
Organism: Sporosarcina sp. HYO08
Lineage: Bacteria; Bacillati; Bacillota; Bacilli; Caryophanales; Caryophanaceae
Source: Rfam